UUUAUGGAGAGUUUGAUCCUGGCUCAGGAUGAACGCUGGCGGCGUGCCUAAUACAUGCAAGUCGAGCGAACAGACGAGGAGCUUGCUCCUUUGACGUUAGCGGCGGACGGGUGAGUAACACGUGGGUAACCUACCUAUAAGACUGGGAUAACUUCGGGAAACCGGAGCUAAUACCGGAUAAUAUUUCGAACCGCAUGGUUCGAUAGUGAAAGAUGGCUCUGCUAUCACUUAUAGAUGGACCUGCGCCGUAUUAGCUAGUUGGUAAGGUAACGGCUUACCAAGGCAACGAUACGUAGCCGACCUGAGAGGGUGAUCGGCCACACUGGAACUGAGACACGGUCCAGACUCCUACGGGAGGCAGCAGUAGGGAAUCUUCCGCAAUGGGCGAAAGCCUGACGGAGCAACGCCGCGUGAGUGAUGAAGGUCUUCGGAUCGUAAAACUCUGUUAUUAGGGAAGAACAAACGUGUAAGUAACUGUGCACGUCUUGACGGUACCUAAUCAGAAAGCCACGGCUAACUACGUGCCAGCAGCCGCGGUAAUACGUAGGUGGCAAGCGUUAUCCGGAAUUAUUGGGCGUAAAGCGCGCGUAGGCGGUUUUUUAAGUCUGAUGUGAAAGCCCACGGCUCAACCGUGGAGGGUCAUUGGAAACUGGAAAACUUGAGUGCAGAAGAGGAAAGUGGAAUUCCAUGUGUAGCGGUGAAAUGCGCAGAGAUAUGGAGGAACACCAGUGGCGAAGGCGACUUUCUGGUCUGUAACUGACGCUGAUGUGCGAAAGCGUGGGGAUCAAACAGGAUUAGAUACCCUGGUAGUCCACGCCGUAAACGAUGAGUGCUAAGUGUUAGGGGGUUUCCGCCCCUUAGUGCUGCAGCUAACGCAUUAAGCACUCCGCCUGGGGAGUACGACCGCAAGGUUGAAACUCAAAGGAA
This 927-nucleotide ribosomal RNA is filed under the name Staphylococcus hominis. RNAcentral describes it as "bacterial SSU rRNA". It matches the Rfam family "Bacterial small subunit ribosomal RNA", at positions 1 to 909 of the family's 1533-position model. The record is from RNAcentral. Lineage: Bacteria; Bacillati; Bacillota; Bacilli; Caryophanales; Staphylococcaceae.